This 277-nucleotide ribosomal RNA is filed under the name uncultured bacterium. RNAcentral describes it as "partial 16S ribosomal RNA". It matches the Rfam family "Bacterial small subunit ribosomal RNA", at positions 28 to 332 of the family's 1533-position model. The record is from RNAcentral.
GAUGAACGCUGGCGGUAUGCUUAACACAUGCAAGUCGAACGCAACUUUUCGGAGUUGAGUGGCGGACGGGUGAGUAAAGCGUGAGAAUCUGGCCUUAGGUUCGGGACAACCACUGGAAACGGUGGCUAACACCGGAUAUGCCUGCGGGUGAAAAAUUAAUUGCCUGAGGGGGAGCUCGCGUCUGAUUAGCUAGUUGGUAGGGUAAGAGCCUACCAAGGCGACGAUCAGUAGCUGGUCUGAGAGGACGAUCAGCCACACUGGGACUGAGACACGGCCC